Molecule: ribosomal RNA, 914 nt
Filed under: uncultured bacterium
Lineage: Bacteria
Description: bacterial SSU rRNA
Rfam family: Bacterial small subunit ribosomal RNA
Source: RNAcentral
UGGGCNUGCAGUUGACGAGAAGCUUUCAAUUGAUUCUUCGGAUGAUUUUGUUAGUGGAAAGUAGCGAAAGGGUGAGUAACGCGUGAGCAAUCUGCCUUCAAGUCGGGGAUAACAGUUGGAAACGACUGCUAAUACCGGAUGUGGAUAUUUUAUCGCAUGUUUAAAUAUCUAAAGGUUUACUGCUUGAAGAUGGGCUCGCGUACCAUUAGCUAGUUGGUGAGGUAACGGCUCACCAAGGCGACGAUGGUUAGGUGGUCUGAGAGGACGAUCACCCACACUGGGACUGAGACACUGCCCAGACUCCUACGGGAGGCUGCAGUCGAGAAUCUUCCGCAAUGCGCGAAAGCGUGACGGAGCAAUACCGAGUGUGUGAUGAAGGUCUUAGGAUUGCAAAGCACUGUCAACAGGGACGAAGAUCUGACGGUACCUGUAGAGGAAGCACCGGCUAAAUACGUGCCAGCAGCCGCGGUAAUACGUAUGGUGCAAGCGUUAUUCGGAUUUAUUGGGCGUAAAGGGUCCGUAGGCGGUUUAUUAAGUCUGAUGUGAAAUCCUAUGGCUCAACCAUAGAACUGCAUUGGAAACUGAUGAACUUGAGUAUCGGAGGGGUAAGCGGAAUUCCUGGUGUAGCGGUGGAAUGCGUAGAUAUCAGGAGGAACACCGAGAGCGAAGGCAGCUUACUGGACGAAAACUGACGCUGAGGGACGAAGGCAUGGGGAGCGAAAAGGAUUAGAUACCCUUGUAGUCCAUGCAGUAAACGUUGUGUACUAGUUGUGGGAGGAUUUAGCCCCUUCCGUGACUGANCUAACGCAUUAAGUACACCGCCUGGGAACUANNNCCGCAAGGCUAAAACUCAANNNNAUUGANNGGACCCGCACAAGCGGUGGAGCAUGUGGCUUAAUUCGAGNCAACGCGAA